AAGGGGGAGACAUUGGCUCUAAACUUAAGAAGAUUCUGCAACAGAAUUUCAACAUUCAACAUUGAAAAUAAUAAAUCUGACAUCAUUGGGAGACGAACAGCAGUUCUUGAUGGCCUUCCACUCCUCCUUGGAGAAGACCCCACUGAUUUUUACAAGACAUGUAUUGACUAUGAUGAUGAAGGCAAUUCAAGCGGCAUAUUGACAUUGAACCCUAAGGACUGUGAAACCAUACCUAACUCGCUGAACCUUGACGCCACAUCCACUGCCAUCUUUUUGGAAGGUACAAGUCUAAUGGAAGAAAUCUUACCCAAGCCAUGUGCCUCCUUUUUGGGCUCUUUAAUGCUCUGAAUUUAGUGUACCCUCCAGUAAUGAAGAACAACUUUGAUUUCAUCCAGGCGGUGAUUUUGUCACUCGGGCACAAGUCUCUGAAACUUAAAAUACUAUCUCUGAAACAUAUUCUAAUGCAGUAACGUCACUUUUCUCCAAUUCUACAUUUAACGUUUUGUGAAGAAGUUACAUUGAUCUUUUGUCUUUCCAGAGUGCAAUACAGUAUGUGCAUUUAUUUCAGAAUUGUUGACUGAUGUCAGAAGGACUUGAAUGAACAUUUUUGUUAAUGUUUUAUAGAAAUAAAUGACUUUGUUGUUGUGCCAACGAUCUGUUGUCUGUCUUUGUAUUAACAACUUAGAGGUUUGAGUACAACUUGCUUGAGAAAGUUAAGGUAAUCAGUUUCCACACGUUUUUCUAGUAAUUUCAACUAGUAGACAUGUUGAAAUAACUCUUUUAUUUAAGUUCUCUGUGUUAAGCUUAACUUAAAUCUGUAAGUUAGCUGAACUUGUUUUACUGAGUUUCCUUUACUCAAGUUUUCAGGUAAUUUUGGCAAAUACAGAAGUUAACUAUACAAAG
This is a long non-coding RNA of Triplophysa rosa, 903 nucleotides long. RefSeq lists it as uncharacterized. The transcript is spliced from 3 exons. The record is from RefSeq and is a predicted model, not a curated record. Lineage: Eukaryota; Metazoa; Chordata; Actinopteri; Cypriniformes; Nemacheilidae.